Long non-coding RNA from Anopheles merus, 604 nucleotides. RefSeq lists it as uncharacterized. Lineage: Eukaryota; Metazoa; Arthropoda; Insecta; Diptera; Culicidae. The transcript has 3 exons. The record is from RefSeq and is a predicted model, not a curated record.
UUUUUUAUUUUAUUCUCCUCUCUUUUACAUGAUCUUCAUUGAAUGCUUGCAAUUAUUUUAUCAUGCACGCACUGCAAUGACGAUUGUUGCAUUUUGGAGCACACGCGGACUCAAACCAUCACACGGUGCGCAAAGGCGUUUCAUGCACUCACUGCAAGGACGAUGCAGGCCUGGAUCCAGUCAGCUCGAGGAGGGUUUAAGUGGGUAAGGCAUCGAUCGUACCACAUGAUUCGAGUGGUUGCGGACGAUGAAUUCCACACUACCCAGGCAUCGGUGUCUUAAGAAGGUUUUCGUCACGUUUGAACCGGCUAUUCACUAACAAUACAUCUACCAGAACCUAGAACAAGACGGCAGCAAAAUACAAACAAUACAUGUGUACAUCUUCCUUGGCUAUCCUUACUGCAUUUUCGUUUCAUGCAGCGCCUGCAACCAAAACGAUCACGUAACCAACGGGACAAUCAAUUGAACUUCCAUGCUGGAAGGUGGAGCUUUACUUCAUGCACCACGUUCCAUGCGCACCUAACUUUGACUGAACACCCCACAUUUCCAGGCUCUCCAGCAAUCUUUCCUUGGGAUGCCAUGAGGCUUUCAAUUUCCACGAGGA